UACGUAGGGGGCAAGCGUUGUCCGGAUUUAUUGGGCGUAAAGAGCGUGUAGGCGGCUAGGUAGGUCCGUUUGUGAAAACUCGAGGCUCAACCUCGAGACGUCGGCGGAAACCAUCUGGCUAGAGUCCGGAAGAGGAGAGUGGAAUUCCUGGUGUAGCGGUGAAAUGCGCAGAUAUCAGGAGGAACACCGAUUGCGAAGGCAGCUCGCUGGGACGUAACUGACGCUGAGACGCGAAAGCGUGGGGGAGCAAACAGG
This 255-nucleotide ribosomal RNA is filed under the name uncultured bacterium. RNAcentral describes it as "partial 16S ribosomal RNA". It matches the Rfam family "Bacterial small subunit ribosomal RNA", at positions 524 to 776 of the family's 1533-position model. The record is from RNAcentral.